RNAcentral lists this unclassified non-coding RNA (2391 nucleotides) under Daphnia pulex (common water flea). RNAcentral describes it as "calpain-A-like, transcript variant X8". The record is from RNAcentral. Lineage: Eukaryota; Metazoa; Arthropoda; Branchiopoda; Diplostraca; Daphniidae.
CGUUCGGCAACUGUUGUGCCGUAAAAAUUCUCGAUUUCUGCCACAAACGUCGAAUUAGGGGCUGGGUCGUUCCGUUUCUUGACUACCGCGCUUGCCUGAAAACUGUCGAUUUACCAAGAAGUUGACUAAGCAAUAACAAAGUGACUUGAGAGGAAGUGAAGGAAAGAAGGUGGGGGGUUGACGAGGGGCACGACGAAGCAACAUGAAAAGGAGUUGGGGGGUGAAACACUCAAGUGCACAGUUGGAAAAAAAUUCCCAUUUCAUCCACAGAUACACUUCUGAUCGGUUCUCGAAUGGUUGUUGCACAGUAUUCAAUCUGCGGUAGAUGUAAUUUAACACUUUGACGCUUUCAGUAUGGCAAUGAACAUACCGCUGUUUAAAUUCUCCAAUUCAUACUCAAACGCAGCUGCACAUCUUCUCAAUCGUCCGAGUCACAACUUAUUUCAGAGGUACCAGAAGAACAACAAACAUCCCUUUUCUCUCGAUGUCCGUUCAAAGAAGUACAAGAAGCCGCGUUGCGUUACGUUUGCUACACAAUUAUCCGAAAAUGACGACUCAAAUUUCCCGAACGAUAUAUCGGAACCAGAAAACAAGUUGGGCGAAAAAGGUACCGGAAUCAAAGGUCGCACCACCGUGCAAGAUUUUGUUCAAAUACGAGACAGCUGCUUAGAAAAUGGAACCCUAUUUGAGGAUCCUUCUUUCCCGGCGGAGGAUUCUUCCAUCUACUAUAGCCGACGAUCUGCUCGUAAUUUUGAAUGGUUGAGGCCCACGGAAAUCGUCGGAGAUCCUCAACUUUUCGUUGAGGGAGCUUCUCGAUUUGAUGUGCAACAAGGCGAAUUGGGUGAUUGCUGGCUACUUGCUGCUAUGGCCAGUUUAACUCUCAACGAACGACUGUUUCAUCAAGUUGUUCCUGAAGAUCAAAGUUUUACCGACAAUUAUGCUGGAAUUUUUCAUUUUCGGAUUUGGCAGUACGGAAGUUGGGUCGAUGUGGUGGUAGACGAUCGCUUGCCAACAUGUGACGGAAAACUGGUCUUCUUGCAGUCACACACCAAAAAUGAAUUUUGGAGCGCUCUAUUGGAAAAAGCAUAUGCCAAGCUCCAUGGUGGCUACGAAGCCCUCAAAGGUGGAACUACAUGCGAGGCCAUGGAAGAUUUUACUGGAGGUGUGAGUGAAAUGUACGAACUCAAUCAAUCUCCCCCGAAUCUGUUCAAGAUUCUACUGAAAGCUCACGAGCGCUCAUCACUAAUGAGUUGCGCAAUCGAGCCGGAUCCCGAUCAAUUGGAAGCUGAAACUCCGAUGGGGUUGAUCAAAGGACACGCUUACAGUAUUACAAGCGUCAAAAUGAUGGAUAUCCGCACCCCUCGAAUGUCUGGACAGAUUCCCAUGAUUCGUAUUCGAAAUCCUUGGGGAAACGAAGCCGAGUGGAAAGGCGCAUGGAGCGAUCAAUCCCCUGAGUGGCAGUUUAUUCCAGCGGAAGAAAAAGAAGAGGUUGGUCUGACUUUCGAUCGAGACGGAGAGUUUUGGAUGUCUUUCCGCGAUUUUUCAGCCCAUUAUUCUCGCCUGGAAAUCGUGAAUUUGAAUGCUGACUCGCUGGAAGAGGAGGAAUUGUCUGGUAACCAAUCCAAACGUUGGUCUGCAAAUGAAUUCGCUGGAAACUGGGUAAAGGGAGCAUCUGCUGGCGGCUGCAGGAACCAUUUAGCAACUUUUCAUCUGAAUCCACAGUACCGCAUUACUUUGGAGGAUCCCGAUGACGACGAUAACGACGAUAAAUGCACGGUGAUUGUGGCAUUAAUGCAGAAGAACCGCAGAGCUCAGCGGAAAAUUGGUCUAGAUUGCCUCACAAUUGGAUUCACCAUUUAUCUUCUGAAAAAUCCGGAUACGGCGCCAAAACCCCUAGACAAUAAAUUUUUCAAGUAUAACGCGUCUGUCGCCCGUUCACCAUCUUUUAUCAAUCUCCGUGAAGUCAGCUGUCGAUUCAAGCUUCCACCGGGUGUUUACGCCAUCAUACCGUCCACUUUCGAACCAAAUGAAGAGGGAGAAUUCAUUUUGCGAGUCUUCUCCGAAAAGAAGAAUAACAUGGAGGAGAACGACGAAGAAGUGGAUAUCGGCGAAGCAGACGAACAAGUGACGUCGUCCAGCUCUUCCGUCGUGUUGCCGGAGUUGACAUGGAGAUUGAUUGGGUUGAACUGCAAAACGUUCUUAAUACUUCCUUCCAGCGUGAAUCUUCAGAGGAGUUCGCGUUCGAGGGAUUCAGCAAAGACGUCUGCCGCAGCAUGAUCGCCAUGUUAGACUCGGACCAUUCAGGAAAACUUGGCUUCGAAGAGUUCAAAAAAUUGUGGUCUGACAUUCAAACAUGGAAGAACACAUUCAAACUGUACGAUCGCGAUCAUA